Molecule: ribosomal RNA, 233 nt
Filed under: uncultured bacterium
Lineage: Bacteria
Description: partial 16S ribosomal RNA
Rfam family: Bacterial small subunit ribosomal RNA
Source: RNAcentral
UCCACGCCGUAAACGAUGAGUGCUAGACGUUGGGGAUGUAACGUUCUCGGUGUCGCAGUUAACGCGUUAAGCACUCCGCCUGGGGAGUACGGUCGCAAGAUUAAAACUCAAAGGAAUUGACGGGGGCCCGCACAAGCGGUGGAGCAUGUGGUUUAAUUCGAUGCAACGCGAAGAACCUUACCUGGGUUGGAAAAUCCCGAAAUCUUGCAGAGAUGUGAGAGUGCCGUUAAGGA